This 388-nucleotide long non-coding RNA is filed under the name Brassica napus (rape). RNAcentral's name for it is "long non-coding RNA (BNAP_LNC006186)". The record is from RNAcentral. Lineage: Eukaryota; Viridiplantae; Streptophyta; Magnoliopsida; Brassicales; Brassicaceae.
GAUUGAAUACAUAAUGGCAAACAAAAAAUAGUAAUAUGCAACUAAGUGACAAUGCUUUUGGUCUUUAAUCACGAACUAUCUGUAAUCGAUCGAAACAUAACUAGAAGUACUAUGGGUCAAUAUACAUAAUUAGAGGUACUAGCUAUCUAUGCAUUUUUUUUAUUUAUUCUUGCAAAUCCUGUGAAUAGUCAAAAGUUAAAUAGGGAAACUUCAAAUAUUAAAGGAAAGUUGAAGAAUUCAAAAGUUGGUUUCGGGUUUCAUAUGGUUGAUUAACAUUUUAUACUCAUUUAAAAGAUUUAUUCACUGUCUUCUUCUUUGGACAGAUUGGCCAUGUUGUAAAAAAUCUGAAACAUUUAUGAUAAAAAAUAAGUUGAAUUUGUUACCUUUU